Molecule: ribosomal RNA, 2215 nt
Filed under: marine sediment metagenome
Description: bacterial LSU rRNA
Rfam family: Bacterial large subunit ribosomal RNA
Source: RNAcentral
AGCGCAUACGGUGGAUGCCUUGGCAGUCAGAGGCGAUGAAAGACGUGGAAGCCUGCGAUAAGGCUCGGGGAGCUGGCAAACAAGCUGUGAUCCGGGCAUUUCUGAAUGGGGAAACCCACCGACUUUCGGGUCGGUACCUUACACUGAAUCCAUAGGUGUAAGGGGCGAACCGGGGGAACUGAAACAUCUAAGUACCCCGAGGAAAAGAAAUCAACCGAGAUUCCCUAAGUAGCGGCGAGCGAACGGGGACCAGCCCUUAAGCUGGACAACUGGUAGGAGAAGGCUCUGGAAAGUGCCGCCAUAGUGGGUGAUAGCCCCGUAUCCGAAACCUGAGUCUGGUGAAAUCGAGUAGGACGGGACACGUGAUAUCCUGUCUGAACAUGGGGGGACCAUCCUCCAAGGCUAAAUACUCCUGACUGACCGAUAGUGAACCAGUACCGUGAGGGAAAGGCGAAAAGAACCCCUGUGAGGGGAGUGAAAUAGAUCCUGAAACCGUAUGCGUACAAGCAGUCGGAGCGGACUUGUUCCGUGACGGCGUACCUUUUGUAUAAUGGGUCAGCGACUUAUGUUCAGUGGCGAGGUUAACCGUUUAGGGGAGCCGUAGGGAAACCGAGUCUGAAUAGGGCGAUUUAGUCGCUGGGCAUAGACCCGAAACCGGGCGAUCUAUCCAUGAGCAGGUUGAAGGUGCCGUAACAGGCACUGGAGGACCGAACCCACUGUCGUUGAAAAGCCAGGGGAUGACUUGUGGAUCGGAGUGAAAGGCUAAUCAAGCCCGGAGAUAGCUGGUUCUCCCCGAAAGCUAUUUAGGUAGCGCCUCGGACGAAUACCACAGGGGGUAGAGCACUGUUUCGGCUAGGGGGUCAUCCCGACUUACCAACCCGAUGCAAACUCCGAAUACCUGUGAGUACUAUCCGGGAGACACACGGCGGGUGCUAACGUCCGUCGUGAAGAGGGAAACAACCCAGACCGCCAGCUAAGGUCCCCAAGUACCAGUUAAGUGGGAAACGAUGUGGGAAGGCUCAGACAGCUAGGAGGUUGGCUUAGAAGCAGCCAUCCUUUAAAGAAAGCGUAAUAGCUCACUAGUCGAGUCGGCCUGCGCGGAAGAUGUAACGGGGCUCAAACUGGUCACCGAAGCUGCGGCUGCAUACUUUGUAUGCGGGGUAGGGGAGCGUUCUGUAAGCCUGCGAAGGUGUGUUGAGAAGCAUGCUGGAGGUAUCAGAAGUGCGAAUGCUGACAUGAGUAACGAUAAUGCGGGUGAAAAACCCGCACGCCGGAAGACCAAGGGUUCCUGCGCAACGCUAAUCGGCGCAGGGUGAGUCGGCCCCUAAGGCGAGACCGAAAGGUGUAGUCGAUGGGAAACGGGUUAAUAUUCCCGUACCUUGGAUAGCUGCGAUGGAGAGACGGAGAAGGCUAGGUGAGCCGGGCGACGGUUGUCCCGGUUUAAGCGAGUAGGGAGUGGACUUAGGCAAAUCCGGGUCCACAAUCCCGAGACGUGACGACGACUGCUCAUAGAGCGGGAAGUCAUUGAUGCCAUGCUUCCAGGAAAAUCUUCUAAGCUUCAGGCUAUUCGAGACCGUACCCCAAACCGACACAGGUGGUCAGGUAGAGAAUACCAAGGCGCUUGAGAGAACUCGGGUGAAGGAACUAGGCAAAAUGGUGCCGUAACUUCGGGAGAAGGCACGCUGGCAGUAAGUGAAGCCCCUGCGGGUGGAGCUGAGACCAGUCGAAGAUACCAGGCCCCUGCGACUGUUUAUUAAAAACACAGCACUGUGCAAACACGAAAGUGGACGUAUACGGUGUGACGCCUGCCCGGUGCCGGAAGGUUAAUUGAUGGGGUUAGCGCUUGCGCGAAGCUCUUGAUCGAAGCCCCGGUAAACGGCGGCCGUAACUAUAACGGUCCUAAGGUAGCGAAAUUCCUUGUCGGGUAAGUUCCGACCUGCACGAAUGGCGUAACGAUGGCCACACUGUCUCCACCAGAGACUCAGUGAAAUUGAAAUCGCAGUGAAGAUGCUGUGUACCCGCGGCUAGACGGAAAGACCCCGUGAACCUUUACUAUAGCUUCACAGUGAACUUUGAACCUACUUGUGUAGGAUAGGUGGGAGGCUUUGAAACCAAGACGCUAGUUUUGGUGGAGCCACUCUUGAAAUACCACCCUGGUAUGUUUGAGGUUCUAACUCAGGUCCCUAAUCGGGAUCGAGGACACUGUGUGGUGGGU